CCUACGGGUGGCAGCAGUGGGGAAUCUUGGGCAAUGGGGGCAACCCUGACCCAGCAACGCCGCGUGAAUGAAGAAGGCUUUCGGGUUGUAAACUUCUUUUCUCAGGGAAGAAGUCAGUUACGGUACCUGAGUAAUAAUCCACGGCUAACUACGUGCCAGCAGCCGCGGUAAUACGUAGGGGGCAAGCGUUCUCCGGAUUUACUGGGUGUAAAGGGCGGGUAGGCGGGGGCGCAAGUCAGAAGUGAAAGCCGAGGGCUCAACCCGGAGCCUGCAUUUGAAACUGUGUGGCUUGAGUGCUGGAGAGGCAAGCGGAAUUCCGAGUGUAGCGGUGAAAUGCGUAGAUAUACGGAGGAACACCAGUGGCGAAGGCGGAUUGCUGGACAGUAACUGACGCUGAGGCGCGAAAGCGUGGGGAGCAAACAGGAUUAGAUACCCCAGUAGUC
RNAcentral lists this ribosomal RNA (443 nucleotides) under uncultured bacterium. RNAcentral's name for it is "partial 16S ribosomal RNA". It matches the Rfam family "Bacterial small subunit ribosomal RNA", at positions 338 to 795 of the family's 1533-position model. The record is from RNAcentral.